Molecule: ribosomal RNA, 488 nt
Filed under: uncultured bacterium
Lineage: Bacteria
Description: bacterial SSU rRNA
Rfam family: Bacterial small subunit ribosomal RNA
Source: RNAcentral
AUUGAACGCUGGUGGCAUGCUUAACACAUGCAAGUCGAACGGUAACAGGUCUAGCUUGCUAGAUGCUGACGAGUGGCGGACGGGUGAGUAACGCGUGGGAAUCUGCCUUCUAGUGGGGGAUAGCCCGGAGAAAUCCGGAUUAAUACCGCAUACGCCCUACGGGGAAAGCCGGGGAGUCUUCGGACCUGGCGCUAGUAGAUGAGCCCGCGUGAGAUUAGCUUGUUGGUGGGGUAAUGGCCUACCAAGGCAACGAUCUCUAGCUGGUCUGAGAGGACGAUCAGCCACACUGGGACUGAGACACGGCCCAGACUCCUACGGGAGGCAGCAGUGGGGAAUAUUGGACAAUGGGCGAAAGCCUGAUCCAGCAAUGCCGCGUGUGUGAAGAAGGCCUGAGGGUUGUAAAGCACUUUCAAUCGUGAAGAAAAGUUAGCAGGCUAAUACCCUGUGACCUUGACGUUAACGAUACAAGAAGCACCGGCUAACUCCGU